RNAcentral lists this ribosomal RNA (1080 nucleotides) under Lactiplantibacillus sp. RNAcentral's name for it is "bacterial SSU rRNA". It matches the Rfam family "Bacterial small subunit ribosomal RNA", at positions 34 to 1082 of the family's 1533-position model. The record is from RNAcentral. Lineage: Bacteria; Bacillati; Bacillota; Bacilli; Lactobacillales; Lactobacillaceae.
CGGCAUGGCGGGGUGCUAUACAUGCAGUCGAACGAACUCUGGUAUUGAUUGGUGCUUGCAUCAUGAUUUACAUUUGAGUGAGUGGCGAACUGGUGAGUAACACGUGGGAAACCUGCCCAGAAGCGGGGGAUAACACCUGGAAACAGAUGCUAAUACCGCAUAACAACUUGGACCGCAUGGUCCAAGUUUGAAAGAUGGCUUCGGCUAUCACUUUUGGAUGGUCCCGCGGCGUAUUAGCUAGAUGGUGGGGUAACGGCUCACCAUGGCAAUGAUACGUAGCCGACCUGAGAGGGUAAUCGGCCACAUUGGGACUGAGACACGGCCCAAACUCCUACGGGAGGCAGCAGUAGGGAAUCUUCCACAAUGGACGAAAGUCUGAUGGAGCAACGCCGCGUGAGUGAAGAAGGGUUUCGGCUCGUAAAACUCUGUUGUUAAAGAAGAACAUAUCUGAGAGUAACUGUUCAGGUAUUGACGGUAUUUAACCAGAAAGCCACGGCUAACUACGUGCCAGCAGCCGCGGUAAUACGUAGGUGGCAAGCGUUGUCCGGAUUUAUUGGGCGUAAAGCGAGCGCAGGCGGUUUUUUAAGUCUGAUGUGAAAGCCUUCGGCUCAACCGAAGAAGUGCAUCGGAAACUGGGAAACUUGAGUGCAGAAGAGGACAGUGGAACUCCAUGUGUAGCGGUGAAAUGCGUAGAUAUAUGGAAGAACACCAGUGGCGAAGGCGGCUGUCUGGUCUGUAACUGACGCUGAGGCUCGAAAGUAUGGGUAGCAAACAGGAUUAGAUACCCUGGUAGUCCAUACCGUAAACGAUGAAUGCUAAGUGUUGGAGGGUUUCCGCCCUUCAGUGCUGCAGCUAACGCAUUAAGCAUUCCGCCUGGGGAGUACGGCCGCAAAGGCUGAAACUCAAGGAUUUGACGGGGGCCCGCACAAGCGGUGGAGCAUGUGGUUUAAUUCGAAGCUACGCGAAGAACCUUACCAGUCUUGACAUACUAUGCAAAUCUAGGAGAUUAGACGUUCCCUUCGGGGACAUGGAUACAGGUGGUGCAUGGUUGUCGUCAGCUCUGUCUGAGAUGUUGGGUUA